Molecule: unclassified non-coding RNA, 209 nt
Filed under: uncultured Polyporales
Lineage: Eukaryota; Fungi; Basidiomycota; Agaricomycetes; Polyporales
Description: sequence contains ITS2
Source: RNAcentral
AAUUCUCAACCUUACCAGCUUUGUCUGUUGUAAGGCUUGGAUGUGAGGGCUUGCCGGCUUCCUUCAGUGGAUGGUCAGCUCCCUUUAAAUGCAUUAGUGGGAUCCUUUGUGGACGGUCACUUGGUGUGAUAAUUAUCUACGCCGCUUGAUUGUGAAGCAAAACUUAUGGGAACCCGCUCAUAACCGUCCUCUUGGACAAUACUCUGACA